Molecule: transfer RNA, 72 nt
Filed under: Trichechus manatus latirostris (Florida manatee)
Lineage: Eukaryota; Metazoa; Chordata; Mammalia; Sirenia; Trichechidae
Description: tRNA-Trp (CCA) (tRNA-Trp-CCA-8-1)
Rfam family: tRNA
About the family: Transfer RNA (tRNA) molecules are approximately 80 nucleotides in length. Their secondary structure includes four short double-helical elements and three loops (D, anti-codon, and T loops).
Source: Rfam by way of RNAcentral
GGCCUCGUAGCGCAAUGGUAGCGCGUCUGACUCCAGAUCAGAAGGUUGCGUGUUCAAAUCAUGCCGGGGUCA